AGGUUGGGUUGGCUGUUCAGUUGAUUGGUUGGAUAGGACAGUUUUUGGGCCAUGGUCUGUUUGAGAAACGCGCACCAGCUUUAUUGGAUAACCUUGCUCAAGCUCUUCUUAUGGGUCCUUUCUUCGUCAUUCUUGAGAUUCUCCAAACGACAAUUGGAUAUGAACCAUAUCUUGGAUUUGAGAAAAAGGUGAAGACGAGGAUAGAAGCUAAUAUCAAAGAAUGGAAGGACAAACAGCAAAAGAAACUUUCUUAACUUCAAAAGAUUGUUUGCAAAUGUUGUCAUUUAUAGACCUCAGCUUUGAAAAUAGGAAAUUAAAAAUUUUCUAAAGACAACGAAUUUGUUGUGUUGUCAUUUACCACUGAAACUU
This is a long non-coding RNA of Vicia villosa (hairy vetch), 369 nucleotides long. RefSeq lists it as uncharacterized. The transcript is spliced from 3 exons. The record is from RefSeq and is a predicted model, not a curated record. NCBI's taxonomy places the organism in Eukaryota, Viridiplantae, Streptophyta, Magnoliopsida, Fabales, Fabaceae.